This 402-nucleotide long non-coding RNA is filed under the name Mytilus galloprovincialis (Mediterranean mussel). The record is from RNAcentral. Lineage: Eukaryota; Metazoa; Mollusca; Bivalvia; Mytilida; Mytilidae.
GCCAUUUUAGUCAAAGAAAUCUGUUAUGUUAAUUUAUUAUGGGGUAUAUAGGUAUAUUCAAACAUCAACAUGCUUUAAUUAAACACCACAAGACUUAAACACCACAAGACUUUGUUUAAUCUUGUUUAAAGUCUUGUUCCAAACAUAUUCAAUGCAAUACUGAUGAUAAAGUUGUUUUGUCAAGCUAUAUUUUCCAGGAGUGAUAAAGAGCAUAUUAUCCCCGACUUUGGAUAGGGUUCUGAAAAAUCUUUUUCCUGUUUUUCAUUGAAGAAAAUCUGCUGGUCCUCACUAUUUACUUAAAAUUUGAAGUAUUUUUACUGUGGAAUCAUUAUUAUUAUUUGUUUGAUACAACAUUCAUGGAUUUCAUAGGUAAAGACCAACCAUAAAAUUUAAACAAAGUUG